GUCCACGCCGUAAACGAUGAGUGCUAGGUGUGGGGGUGUCGACUCCCUCCGUGCCGAAGCUAACGCAUUAAGCACUCCGCCUGGGGAGUACGGCCGCAAGGCUAAAACUCAAAGGAAUUGACGGGGCCCGCACAAGCAGCGGAGCAUGUGGUUUAAUUCGACGCGACGCGAAGAACCUUACCAAGGCUUGACAUCUACUGGAAAAGCGUGGAAACACGUUCCCUCUUCGGAGUCAGUAGACAGGUGGUGCAUGGCUGUCGU
RNAcentral lists this ribosomal RNA (261 nucleotides) under uncultured bacterium. RNAcentral's name for it is "partial 16S ribosomal RNA". It matches the Rfam family "Bacterial small subunit ribosomal RNA", at positions 793 to 1055 of the family's 1533-position model. The record is from RNAcentral.